Molecule: ribosomal RNA, 2748 nt
Filed under: Vibrio cholerae HC-44C1
Lineage: Bacteria; Pseudomonadati; Pseudomonadota; Gammaproteobacteria; Vibrionales; Vibrionaceae
Description: bacterial LSU rRNA
Rfam family: Bacterial large subunit ribosomal RNA
Source: RNAcentral
UUAAGUGACUAAGCGUACACGGUGGAUGCCUGGGCAGUCAGAGGCGAUGAAGGACGUACUAACUUGCGAUAAGCGCAGAUAAGGCAGUAAGAGCCGUUUGAGUCUGCGAUUUCCGAAUGGGGAAACCCAACUGCAUAAGCAGUUACUGUUAACUGAAUACAUAGGUUAACAGAGCAAACCGGGGGAACUGAAACAUCUAAGUACCCCGAGGAGAAGAAAUCAACCGAGAUUCCGGUAGUAGCGGCGAGCGAACCUGGAUUAGCCCUUAAGCACUCGGUGAAGUAGGUGAACAAGCUGGAAAGCUUGGCGAUACAGGGUGAUAGCCCCGUAACCGACGCUUCAUCGAGCGUGAAAUCGAGUAGGGCGGGACACGUGAUAUCCUGUCUGAAUAUGGGGGGACCAUCCUCCAAGGCUAAAUACUCCUGACUGACCGAUAGUGAACCAGUACCGUGAGGGAAAGGCGAAAAGAACCCCUGUGAGGGGAGUGAAAUAGAACCUGAAACCGUGUACGUACAAGCAGUAGGAGCACCUUCGUGGUGUGACUGCGUACCUUUUGUAUAAUGGGUCAGCGACUUAUAUUCAGUGGCAAGGUUAACCGUAUAGGGGAGCCGUAGCGAAAGCGAGUCUUAACUGGGCGCUCAGUCUCUGGAUAUAGACCCGAAACCGGGUGAUCUAGCCAUGGGCAGGUUGAAGGUUGAGUAACAUCAACUGGAGGACCGAACCGACUAAUGUUGAAAAAUUAGCGGAUGACUUGUGGCUAGGGGUGAAAGGCCAAUCAAACUCGGAGAUAGCUGGUUCUCCCCGAAAGCUAUUUAGGUAGCGCCUCGGACGAAUACUACUGGGGGUAGAGCACUGUUAAGGCUAGGGGGUCAUCCCGACUUACCAACCCUUUGCAAACUCCGAAUACCAGUAAGUACUAUCCGGGAGACACACGGCGGGUGCUAACGUCCGUCGUGGAGAGGGAAACAACCCAGACCGCCAGCUAAGGUCCCAAAGUAUUGCUAAGUGGGAAACGAUGUGGGAAGGCUCAGACAGCUAGGAUGUUGGCUUAGAAGCAGCCAUCAUUUAAAGAAAGCGUAAUAGCUCACUAGUCGAGUCGGCCUGCGCGGAAGAUGUAACGGGGCUAAGCAAUACACCGAAGCUGCGGCAAUAUCUUUUAGAUAUUGGGUAGGGGAGCGUUCUGUAAGCCGUUGAAGGUGAAUCGUAAGGUUUGCUGGAGGUAUCAGAAGUGCGAAUGCUGACAUGAGUAACGACAAAGGGGGUGAAAAACCUCCUCGCCGGAAGACCAAGGGUUCCUGUCCAACGUUAAUCGGGGCAGGGUGAGUCGACCCCUAAGGUGAGGCCGAAAGGCGUAAUCGAUGGGAAACGGGUUAAUAUUCCCGUACUUCUGACUAUUGCGAUGGGGGGACGGAGAAGGCUAGGUGGGCCAGGCGACGGUUGUCCUGGUUCAAGUGCGUAGGCUUGAGAGUUAGGUAAAUCCGGCUCUCUCUAAGGCUGAGACACGACGUCGAGCUGCUACGGCAGUGAAGUCAUUGAUGCCAUGCUUCCAGGAAAAGCCUCUAAGCUUCAGAUAGUCAGGAAUCGUACCCCAAACCGACACAGGUGGUCGGGUAGAGAAUACCAAGGCGCUUGAGAGAACUCGGGUGAAGGAACUAGGCAAAAUGGUACCGUAACUUCGGGAGAAGGUACGCUCUUGAUGGUGAAGUCCCUCGCGGAUGGAGCUGACGAGAGUCGCAGAUACCAGGUGGCUGCAACUGUUUAUUAAAAACACAGCACUGUGCAAAAUCGCAAGAUGACGUAUACGGUGUGACGCCUGCCCGGUGCCGGAAGGUUAAUUGAUGGGGUUAGCGCAAGCGAAGCUCUUGAUCGAAGCCCCGGUAAACGGCGGCCGUAACUAUAACGGUCCUAAGGUAGCGAAAUUCCUUGUCGGGUAAGUUCCGACCUGCACGAAUGGCGUAAUGAUGGCCACGCUGUCUCCACCCGAGACUCAGUGAAAUUGAAAUCGCUGUGAAGAUGCAGUGUACCCGCGGCUAGACGGAAAGACCCCGUGAACCUUUACUACAGCUUGGCACUGAACAUUGAACCUACAUGUGUAGGAUAGGUGGGAGGCUAUGAAGACGUGACGCCAGUUGCGUUGGAGCCGUCCUUGAAAUACCACCCUUGUAUGUUUGAUGUUCUAACUUAGACCCAUUAUCUGGGUUGAGGACAGUGCCUGGUGGGUAGUUUGACUGGGGCGGUCUCCUCCCAAAGAGUAACGGAGGAGCACGAAGGUGGGCUAAUCACGGUUGGACAUCGUGAGGUUAGUGCAAUGGCAUAAGCCCGCUUAACUGCGAGAAUGACGGUUCGAGCAGGUGCGAAAGCAGGUCAUAGUGAUCCGGUGGUUCUGUAUGGAAGGGCCAUCGCUCAACGGAUAAAAGGUACUCCGGGGAUAACAGGCUGAUACCGCCCAAGAGUUCAUAUCGACGGCGGUGUUUGGCACCUCGAUGUCGGCUCAUCACAUCCUGGGGCUGAAGUCGGUCCCAAGGGUAUGGCUGUUCGCCAUUUAAAGUGGUACGCGAGCUGGGUUUAGAACGUCGUGAGACAGUUCGGUCCCUAUCUGCCGUGGGCGUUGGAAGAUUGAAGGGGGCUGCUCCUAGUACGAGAGGACCGGAGUGGACGAACCUCUGGUGUUCGGGUUGUGUCGCCAGACGCAUUGCCCGGUAGCUAAGUUCGGAAUUGAUAAGCGCUGAAAGCAUCUAAGCGCGAAGC